Taeniopygia guttata (zebra finch) is the source of this 3671-nucleotide long non-coding RNA. Lineage: Eukaryota; Metazoa; Chordata; Aves; Passeriformes; Estrildidae. The record is from Ensembl.
UUUUUUUUUUUUUUUUUUGUUAAAGGAACUGAGUUGAAUUCAAGCAAUUAUUUUAUAUUGUAUAAUAAACAUUCCUUUUUAAUAUUAAUAUUGUUUUCUUACAAAAUAUAUUUCUAAGAAAAAAAACAACUUUGUGAUUUCAUUAUUUUUAUGUGUACCUGUAUUUCUUGCGCAGCUUUGAUAAUUAUAUUCAGAUUUCAGAAUGUACAUGCUGGAUCUGGUAUAACUCAAGAAAACUGAGGCAUAAAUCAGCUAUUUUGAGACAAUUACAAUGAAUUUUACUGAGUUUUGAUCUGGCUUUGGAUCUACAUGCACCACUUUCACGUCAGGUUAGAUUUUUAGGAGUUGGAAAUUAAUCUGAAAGUGAAGGCUUCCCCAUGAUGUUUCACAUCUAACAGUUGUCACUUCAAACCCACAAAUGACUGAGGAAUGUGGGGCUCUUAUUUUAUUUUCAAGGGCUACAAGUCAAAAUCAUUUCUUCCUAGUAUAGAGAUGUCCAGUGACAGGCUGGGAGAAAAAUAUCUGUUCUGUGUCCUAGGGGUUUAAGUCACCCUCUGGGGAGGUAGAGAUGGGGGUUCAAGUGGUUUGAAAGUAAAGUUAGACUUAGUAGCUGAAUUUAGCAAAUGACAGGAGGAGAGCCACCAGCACUAAAUGUCACCUGAAUGACAGUGUCUGUGGGCUGUGGGUGUGUUCUGAAGAAGGUCUCCUGUAGCAUGUGUUGAACCCCUGAGCACAGACUUGUCUGCGCAUCCUAAGCCACCAGAGCUGAGACAGUGGCUCCUGAGGCUCAACUUAGCAUGCAUGUUCUCAAUAGGAGGGCUGUAAGCAUCUACAUUUCACAAUGCAAUAUGAGGAUUUAAGUUUCCGUUGUGCAACAGCUUUGAAGCCUAGCUGGUUUGAGGGUUGUGGCGGUUUUUGUGGGUUUUUUUUCUUCCUUAGCAUCUUCUGGCUGUGAGUUUUCCAGUUGUGUGAUAAAAUAGGUGGGAGGAUUGUGAUAAUGUCCUCAUGGGGCUUUAUAGGCUACUGUGAGAGUAACAAUUAGAGGCCAAGCCCUUACUCUGCUCUCUACAAAACAGAAAUGGAGUAAGAGAUCUCAUUGUUCUGCCUGUCAUUCCUUGGUCUCUUCUUAACCUUUGUUCAUUCGAAAGGAAACCAGAAGCUCCAUGUAGAGCUCUAGGUACAGUUUGCUUUUUAUAUCAGAGUAGCCACAGAUUGAAAAGAUUCAGUGGUGUCAUUUGAGGCAACCUGGGCACAUAUUCCAAGGUGAUGAAACUUGUUUGCACUACCACUGACCUUCCUAAAACCAUGUCUGCUCCCAGAAGUGUCCAUUCUUUGGCGUGUGCUUCAUCAGAACAUAAUUAAUGAAAAGAGCAGACAAAUCAAUUAAUGGAGGGAGUUAGUUACCUUAAGAAGAAGGGAAUGUGCUGUAGGCCAAUAAACAUAUCUGUGAUUCUUAUUUUAUAAUCUUCAAAGAUAAUUUUGGUCUGUGGGUAGAAGAUUAUUAUUUGCUGAAAAAAUGAUGUUAAAAAAAUCUUACUUGGAAAUAGUUUAUUUGAAAUUCAGGGUAUUUGUGUGCAUGUAAACAUCUGUAUAUUCUUACCAUGUUCUUGCUGAGUUAAUUUUAAUACAUGGGGUUAUGAUUGCAUAUUUUGGCACCUGGGCACUCCUCCCCCCUCCUUCCCAAGCUUGCUCCAGCCAGUGGCUGUUUCUUUUUCUGUCUAUCCCACUUCCUUUUCUCUGGCGCCUUCCAGCUGACAGUGUGUUCUGCUCACCCUGCUCUUACUGACUUACAGCUCCUUUUCCUUGUGAUAACAACUGCCUUGGUUCAGAUCUAGGUAUACUCCCCCUUUUUUUGGCCCAUUUUCAGGUAGCUUUGCUGUGCUUUUUCGUGGGAAAAAACAAGAAUUUUGUUUUUCAAAAAGAUUUUUGAACCUUUGGUGCCAGAACUGAGCUGAAUAGGAAUGAAGAAAAGUAGCUGGCGAAUAAGGAACCAGCAGGUUGGACACACAAAGCAGUCUGUGCUGCCCUUUGGUUUGAUGUACCAGUUCUGGAGGGCUCCAGACAAUAACCACAUGUUUGUAUUCUGCUGUUAAAAAAAUUUAGUCUGCAGCAGAACUUAAUAUAGAUGGCUGUGUGCAGCAUUUUACUGCGGUGAUUGGAGAAAAAUCACACCUAAACCAGAAAGUGCUCUUAUACAUAGGCAAUUUCUUGUUCUUUCUCCCUCUCUGUAUUGGUGCCUUGUCCAGUAUUUCCUGGUUGCUGUAUCUGGGACCACAACCUGCACAUUUUGCCAACUGUUUAUUUUUUUUUAGCUCACUGGAGUCUGAUCCUGUAUAUCCUAUACCGUUGCCUAAUAUCUCCAUUUGUGACUAGCUCCAAAGCAAAGCUCAGUCUUGGAAAGCUGAGAAACCUGUGUCAGCUUGAGGUUGUUUGAAUUAGAUUUCAAAAACUUCUUGGCAACUCCAAAUGGUUUUCUCUGCUUUUUUUUAACCUUAAGUAUGGAUGUGCUGGGGUUUCUUGCUGUGCUUCCAAGGGAAUAUUUUUUCUGGGGUGGAGGUGAGGGCUUGGGUAUCUUUGAUUUAGUGCUAUCUGUUCACAACCCAUUUUAUGAAGUUUAGAGAGGGCAUAUUUUCCUUGCAUUUGUUCAGCACUUGAGUCAUGUGCUGUUUUGCUGCCUGCUCUCUUGUGCCAUGCUGCUUUUCCCCAGAUGGCACAUCACCAAAUGCCAAUCCAUUUAUGCUUGGCUGUGACAGAAGACAAGCAGGAACUCCAAUUGCUUUCAGCUCCCUACAUGCUGCAAGUCACAAAAUGAUAAGGUUCAUUUUCCCAGCCUUCUGGGUGGGAUCGUGAUGUGGCUGCUUCCUCAUCCUGUAGGUUCCAAAUUCCCUACAUGUUUGUAUUAUCAGCAGUAAGUAAGGAUGCCUGGUGGCUGGCUUUGGGGAUGCCAGUUCCUUAAGGGGAAGAUUGACAGAGGAUCUCCUUCCCUCAUCCUCUUCAUGACAGGUGACAGAUUUUGGAGGUACUGAAAUAUGAUCACAUGGCAGAUAACUUUUUGGGAGAUUCAGAUACGCUCUUGUAUGUUAUUUUUUAACUUCAUAUCCCACCAGUUUAAAGGAUUUCAACCCACUUUUUUCUGUUAAUUGGGAUGAGUGUAGUGUUUGGAAUUAUUUUCCUUACUGUAUCACAAGUGAACACAUGGCCGCAAUCACAACCUUCCAGGGAUAUCAUAGGUAAAAUCAGUUCACCACAGAUGCUGGCUGUGAAUGCAGAGUGGAGCAGACCUUCCUUGCUUGUCCAUAGUUUACUGUUGUGCCUGCUCUAACCCCAGCGUGGGCUCUCCACCCUGCUGGCAUCCCAGUGAAUUGAUUUACAGCAAAUGUAACCUGUACAUACUUAUUCUGGCCUCUGAGAACUAAUAACACAUAACAUUGUUUAGUUAGCAACCAUUUGCAUAUUGACUACUCUUUUUCUGUGUAAACCUCCCAGAUAUAAAGUUUUCUUUGAAAUUUGACUAGCUCCCUGCUUGACCUGUACCUUUUUGCAAUGUUAGUGUCACUAAAUGUUUUUUGUUGUUUGUUUUUUUUUUUUCUGAAGUGCAGUAUCAGAUGCAGUGACACAUCUAAAACAAAACAAGAUACAUCUGGUGUAAUGUUUUAUCACUCAUCAUGGCU